RNA transcript from Lycium barbarum (goji berry), 3141 nucleotides. It is a transcript of the gene named reticulon-like protein B1, with no coding region annotated. The record is from RefSeq and is a predicted model, not a curated record. Lineage: Eukaryota; Viridiplantae; Streptophyta; Magnoliopsida; Solanales; Solanaceae. The transcript is spliced from 2 exons.
CCUCUACGAUGAAAGCUGAUUUGGAAACUGAACAAGUCGGGGAGGCGCAAGUGUUUUCUAAGAGUCCUCACCAAAAUAACAACCAGCAACUCAGUCAAUUUGCAACUAUAGUUAUGGAUCCUUUUGCUAGCUUGGUCCUAGGUGGUAAGUUUCCUUUUGGUCAAAUACUCGUUGUGCAUGUUAGUGUCAAUUUGGAUGAUGGUCAUAUGCUCGAGACUUAUUAUUGCUGUCAUAUGGGAGCUUGCACAUAUUUCUUCUAUGCGUCUGAAUCAUCAACUGGGACUAGCCCAUUUUGUAGUUUUGUUGACAAUUGGUUCGACACUGGGCAGAAUUUCGAAGGCAAAUUGAUCGACUAUUUGGUGAAGUCUAACAAUUGGUUCGAUACUGGGCAGAAUUCCAAUGGGAAAUAUAGCAAUUAUUUGGUGAAGUCUAAAGAAUCGACUUAUGAAGACCAAUGCAGCUUUUGUGUUGUCGAUUGCUUGAGCAGGGGGUAUCAUAGUCGAAAACAUGAAGGUUUUGACUUAUGCUUGCAGUGCUUCCAAAAUGAUAAGUUCGACCUUGAAACUUGUUGUUUAGAUUUCAUCCUAAUUGAGAGUGCUGAAGUUUUGGAAGAUAUGUUUUUAAAUUCAUUCUCUAUGAAGAACCAGAGUGAUAUAUAUGUUAUUGCAGAAACAUACCUGGUUGAAUUGUUUAGGGAUGAUGAGCAUAGGGAUGAUGCUUGUAAGUUGUUCAAAAAAUUGACAGAGAGGUAUAUAGAUGCAAAUCUCCCUGUUUUUGGCUAAUAAACGAAUCCCUGGCUUUGAGAUUAUUGAGGGUCUAGAUCAUGGUAAUCUGCCCAUGAAAGACAAAAAGCAGCUCUAUAAGAAGCAUGCAUCUACUGCUUUUGGAUUUUACUUGGAGGAUGGGAGCGUGAAUUUGCAGCUUUAUGCUCAUCUCUUCUCAAAGUUUAUUGUUUAUCUCAACUUUUCAGAUCUCCCACUUGAUCCUGGUAUACAUAAUGACCAUAUAAUCAAUGGUAUCAUCAUAAGUAUGUUUAAAAAUAGAAUUUCUUCUCAUGAAUUAGUAGCUACAUUGUGGGGUAAGCAAGUUCCUGACCUUGUGAUGAAAGAUGGAGGUAGAGUUGAAUCUCAAAAUUUUGUUAGAAAGAUGAUGGAUGUUUUAUGUGGAGCUUCUGAAAUAUGUAUUCCUGCUCUUAUUUUGCUGCAUAAUUGCACUCAUUUCCCUCCUGUUAUCUCUAAAUCCAAAGGUGGUUAUGAAAGGGAGGAUCAAGUACAUGAGCAAGCUACAAAUAUCCUCGGUGUUUUAAAUUCCGAGCCUAUGGAUAGGUCUGAAGAGAGAUAUGAUGAGACCAACUUAAAAAUGAAUCUGUUCUUAAGAUCAUCUAUAUACCAUAAGGAUGAGGAUACUCAGCUCCUCUAUAGUUUUAAUUUCAUGGUCUUAAAUACUGCUGAGUUUGUUGUUCUGUGCAUAUCCAAAAGCUUUGGGACAAUGCUGAUUUUAAAGGUGGACCAAAGGUAUAAUCACAUUGUUGAACUGAUACAACAGAGUGCUCAAAAGAUAAGGAGAGUUCUUAUGAUGUAUAAUUUGUUUCAUUUUCCAUUUGAUCCUAGUUCAAAUGUGCUUACUAGCAUCUCUAGUAAUAAAGGAAUGAACUAUGCAGUCAAGUUGUUUAAAAGAGUACCUCACAAAAUUGUUGUUUUCUGGAAAGUGGUGAUCUCUUGCUAUACCGAAGGGUUAUGGUCUCAUGAUGCUGUGAGUGCAUUUUCUGAUUAUUCUGGCUAUAUCCAGACAAAUACAAGUGAGAUUCAAAAGAUUCGGCAAAAUUUGGAAAAGAAAUGGCUUGAGCAUUUGGUGAAGUUUGUAGAUUCAGAUUUCGAGUAUUAUUGUGAUUCCGGGCAUAGUGAUUGUCCAGAAUAUAGCUAUGAUAAUAAAAAACACGGAGACUUUAAUCCGUGUAAUGAGUGUUUCGGCUACAACAAAUUUGAACCUGAGAUGGCUCUUUCGGUCUUCACCAUCUUUGAAGAAAUUAAUUCUGCAGUAGCUGCAAGCAGGAAGGCUUGGCAUAUUAGGGAUAAUAAGUGGCACAAUUGCUGGGUAAAAUCUGAAGAAUCAGCUUCUUGGGACCACUACAAUUCAUGUCUAACUGGUUGCUCACGAGUGGGUUGCCAUAGCCAAACACAUGAAGCUUUUGAUUUGUGUGGUAAAUGCUUCAUCAGUGGCAAAUUUGAAAUUGGCAUGAUUCCUUCAGAUCUCAUCUUUGUUGAACUGGUUGAGGAAGAACUUAUGAAGGGGAUUUUUCUCAAUUUCCAUAUGACCCCGGUGGUAGUCUUUCUUGGGCAUAUUAUUGUCUAAUUGCUUACGACGAUUUUCAUUCCUCAACAGCCACUACACCUUCGUUGAGUUUCAAUAAAGUGCUUGAACUCAUCAUUGCAGAGGAUAGUUAUCUAAGGCAAAAACCAGAUCAUGUGUCACUGGAGUUAUAGUCCCAAAGGAGCAGAGGCUACAAAUAGAAGAAGCUGCUUAUAAUUCUCAAAGAACAGAGACUAUAGAUGAUAGAUAUAUAGCAUUCUUAAGUCUUCUCCUUGUUGGUUCCACGUAUAUUCUUGUGAGUAACAAGUUUCCGUCUGAUCCCAUAGGUAUUAGUGUUCUAUUGGUGGCCUUUCACAUCAAUUCCAAUUCGAUCCUGGUGGCUUCCUCUAUGUAUCAACACCUUGAGGGCAAGGGUGUUAUUCAACAAGGGGUAUAGAUAAACAAAAAUGUAAUGAUUUUCAAAUUUCCAGAUUUUUGAGAUCAUCCUUGAGGUCAAGGAUUAUUUGAAGCAGCAGGGAAUGUAAUGACCUGGAUAUAUUAGCACAGUGAAGAAUAAAGAAGCGACAAAUAGAAUUAUAACACGUGGACGCACGAGAUUAAAUCUGAGUUAAUGAAGGUGAAGGGUUGUGAUUGCACGUGAGAAUCUUAUAAAUAGACACCGAAAAGGCAACAAGAGGAACGAUUAGUUUGGGUAUAGUCAGAGAUGUAAUUUUAUGGAAGAGGAAGAGUUAUAGUGUUGGGGCACUAUUAGCAGCUACAGCGAUAUGGUUGGCACUUGAAGUCUGUGGAUUGACGUUUAUAACGCUGGGUUCUUGGAUCGCCAUGUUCGUG